CAGGAAUACGCGAAUAAAUAAUAACAAAUGAACAACCAACGUUAAUGUGUUUGAAUUGCCGAUCGCGCUAUAUUUAACAGGGGAAACUACGAUCUAUAAAUAGGGCAAAGUAUAUAUUUAGAACCUGAUGCGGAGAUCAGUAAAAUAAUACAGUGUGUAAAAUGUAUGCUGUUUACCUUUUAUAAAAUAUAUAUCAAGUCAAAUAUCAAUCUUCUUAUUCUUCGAGGUGUAUAUCAACUUCACUCUUCAAAACCAUAUAAACAAUUGCUCGGCGGAAGUUGACGUCAACAAUGGGAAAGUGAAAGUACGGGAAUAAAUAUAACGUUACGUCGUGUAAAUUGUACUUUCACAACACUGCCCCCCCCCCCUUUUCAAAAAAUCAUUUCGCCCUCGAAAUUAAAACAUUACCUAUAUGUACCUUAUUUACAGUAAAAAAAAAAACAUCAACAAUAACGACAUGAAAAAUAAACAAUAUGCAUAAUUUCUAAAUUUCAAAAAUCACCUCUUCUGUAAAUGCAUAUUCAUAACAAUUAAAACAUAGCAAUAUCAACAC
Molecule: long non-coding RNA, 553 nt
Filed under: Mytilus galloprovincialis (Mediterranean mussel)
Lineage: Eukaryota; Metazoa; Mollusca; Bivalvia; Mytilida; Mytilidae
Source: RNAcentral